This 75-nucleotide transfer RNA is filed under the name Streptomyces inhibens. Its description in RNAcentral is "Streptomyces sp. NEAU-D10 tRNA-Gln". It matches the Rfam family "tRNA". From Rfam's summary of the family: Transfer RNA (tRNA) molecules are approximately 80 nucleotides in length. Their secondary structure includes four short double-helical elements and three loops (D, anti-codon, and T loops). Lineage: Bacteria; Bacillati; Actinomycetota; Actinomycetes; Kitasatosporales; Streptomycetaceae. The record is from RNAcentral.
UCCCCCGUGGUGUAAUGGGCAACACUGUCGGUUUUGGUCCGACCAUUAGAGGUUCGAGUCCUCUCGGGGGAGCAA